GUUUAUUUAACUUUGUUAAAGUGUAUAUUUUGAAAAUAUAAAACAGGUUAUACCUAAUAAACU
RNAcentral lists this transfer RNA (63 nucleotides) under Macrocheles glaber. RNAcentral describes it as "tRNA-Ser". Lineage: Eukaryota; Metazoa; Arthropoda; Arachnida; Mesostigmata; Macrochelidae. The record is from RNAcentral.